CUUGGCUCCUGGAGCUCCGGGCGGGUGAAGCAGGGGCGUCCGAGCAGAGCAUCGCUACCACCAAGUUUAAAACCCGGGAUCCCAGCCUGCGCGGCCUCCUGGCUUGUCAUCCCCUCCAGCUUCCCCUCCCUCCCUCCCUCCCUCCGGAGAAGGGAAUAGAUGUUCCGUUCUCCUUUGUUCCAGAGCCCCUAGGCGGGAAGGUGAAAGUGCGCGGUACCCUGAGUCAGAAACCUGUGCGGGGGGCGCGGAUCCGGCCGCUGGAUGGGGCUGGAGCCCGCAGCGGGCUGGGAAUGACGCGUGGGAGGCCGAGGGCAGCGAGGUGACGCGCGAGGACCUCGCCGCCUCAGCCCACGUGUCCUCGAGAUUUAAAAGUUGGCAGCGCGCGGAGUCGCCAGUCUGGCGGCGGAGCCGGGCGAACAGCAGGCCGAGGACGCAGACACGCGGCGAGAGCAUCGCCUGGAGCGCAGGGUCCCGGGCCCCCAGCCGCCCUCAGGCGCCGAGAUGCAGGGAGUCGCGAACCGCCGCCUCGGGCAGUCCCCCGCACAGGUGACCGCGGCGCCCCCGCUCCUGCUGCUGCUCCUGCUCUCCUGUUGCACAGAGCCUGGCCGAGGUGCUCCAGUAUUGCCUCAAGGAUUACAGCCUGAACAAGAGCUACAGUUAUGGAAUGAGAUAGAUGAUGCUUGCUCGUCUUUCUUGUCCAUGAAUUCUCAGCCCCAGGCAUCCAGUGCACUGGAGGAGCUUUGCCUCACAAUUCUGGGGACUCUAGCAAAGCCCCAGGAAAUAGAUGAAAAAGAUAACACCAAAAGGUUCUUAUUUCAUUAUUCAAAGACACGAAAGUUGGGCAAUUCAAAUGUUGUGUCAUCUGUCCUGCAUCCGCUGCUGCAGCUCGUUCCGCAACUGCAUGAGAGAAGAACGAAGAGAUUCAAAGUGGACGAAGAAUUCCAAGGUCCUAUUGUAAGCCAAAAUCGAAGAUAUUUUUUAUUCAGGCCGCGCAAUGGAAGAAGAUCAGAAGGUUACAUUUAAAAUGGACACCAAGAAGUUUUUGUGACUUACUUUAUUGAGAUAUUUGCUGGCACUGAAGCUAAGAACGCCACCCAUUUUUUGCAGGAGCAAUGCCAUGGAAUACAAAAUAUACUGACUUCUUUUUUUCUUCUUAAAAGCAGUCCUUGCUAAGUUUACAAGUUUGAGAAUCUCUGUAUUGUAAACGUUUUCAGUAAAAGCUGAUUGAUAUUGUAAAUGUUUAAUUUGUUGAAAAUUAAA
Phacochoerus africanus (Common warthog) is the source of this 1260-nucleotide RNA transcript. It is a transcript of the gene named neuromedin U, with no coding region annotated. Lineage: Eukaryota; Metazoa; Chordata; Mammalia; Artiodactyla; Suidae. The record is from RefSeq and is a predicted model, not a curated record. The transcript has 11 exons.